CUACGGGGGGCACCAGUAAGGAAUAUUGGGCAAUGGACGCAAGUCUGACCCAGCCAUGCCGCGUGAAGGAUGAAGGCCCUCUGGGUUGUAAACUUCUUUUAUCUGGGGCGAAAGGCGGUUAUUCUUAGCCGUUUGACAGUACCAGAGGAAUAAGCACCGGCUAACUCCGUGCCAGCAGCCGCGGUAAUACGGAGGGUGCGAGCGUUAUCCGGAUUCACUGGGUUUAACGGGUGCGUAGGUGGAUCUGUAAGUCAGAGGUGAAAUCCCCGAGCUUAACUUGGGAACUGCCUUUGAUACUAUAGAUCUUGAAUAUCGUGGAGGUAAGCGGAAUAUGUCAUGUAGCGGUGAAAUGCAUAGAGAUGACAUAGAACACCAAUUGCGAAGGCAGCUUGCUACACGAUGAUUGACACUGAGGCACGAAAGCGUGGGGAGCAAACAGGAUUAGAUACCCGGGUAGUC
RNAcentral lists this ribosomal RNA (459 nucleotides) under uncultured bacterium. RNAcentral describes it as "partial 16S ribosomal RNA". It matches the Rfam family "Bacterial small subunit ribosomal RNA", at positions 339 to 795 of the family's 1533-position model. The record is from RNAcentral.